CAGCAGCCGCGGUAAACCGUAGGAACCGAGCGUUAUCCGAAUUUACUGAGCGUAAAGCGCGUGUAGGCGGUUCGGUAAGUUGGAUGUGAAAGCUCCUGGCUCAACUAGGAGAGGACGUUCAAUACUGUCGGACUAGAGGGCAGCAGAGGAAAGUGGAAUUCCCGGU
Molecule: ribosomal RNA, 166 nt
Filed under: uncultured bacterium
Lineage: Bacteria
Description: partial 16S ribosomal RNA
Rfam family: Bacterial small subunit ribosomal RNA
Source: RNAcentral